Molecule: non-coding RNA, 45 nt
Organism: Oikopleura dioica
Lineage: Eukaryota; Metazoa; Chordata; Appendicularia; Copelata; Oikopleuridae
Source: Rfam
AAACCGGCCCUUUUAAGGGCCACAUAAAUGUUAUUAUCAACCAUG